This 492-nucleotide ribosomal RNA is filed under the name uncultured bacterium. Its description in RNAcentral is "partial 16S ribosomal RNA". It matches the Rfam family "Bacterial small subunit ribosomal RNA", at positions 29 to 507 of the family's 1533-position model. The record is from RNAcentral.
AGUGAACGCUGGCGGUAGGCCUAACACAUGCAAGUCGAACGGCAGCACAGUAAGAGCUUGCUCUUACGGGUGGCGAGUGGCGGACGGGUGAGGAAUACAUCGGAAUCUACUUUUUCGUGGGGGAUAACGUAGGGAAACUUACGCUAAUACCGCAUACGACCUACGGGUGAAAGCAGGGGAUCUUCGGACCUUUCGCGAUUGAAUGAGCCGAUGUCGGAUUAGCUAGUUGGCGGGGUAAAGGCCCACCAAGGCGACGAUCCGUAGCUGGUCUGAGAGGAUGAUCAGCCACACUGGAACUGAGACACGGUCAAGACUCCUACGGGAGGCCGCAGUGGGGAAUAUUGGACAAUGGGCGCAAGCCUGAUCCAGCCAUACCGCGUGGGUGAAGAAGGCCUUCGGGUUGUAAAGCCCUUUUGUUGGGAAAGAAAAGCAGCAGCUUAAUACCCCGCUGUUCUGACGGUACCCAAAGAAUAAGCACCGGCUAACUUCGUG